AAUAGAUACCCAGGUAGUCCACGCCGUAAACGAUGAGUGCUAAGUGUUAGGGGGUUUCCGCCCCUUGGUGGCUGCAGCUAACGCAUUAAGCACUCCGCCUGGGGAGUACGGUCGCAAGACUGAAACUCAAAGGAAUUGACGGGGGCUCGCACAAGCGGUGGAGCAUGUGGUUUAAUUCGAAGCAACGCGAAGAACCUUACCAGGUCUUGACAUCCCAUUGACCACUAUGGAGACAUAGUUUUCCCUUCGGGGACAACGGUGACAGGUGGUGCAUGGUUGUCGUCAGCUCGUGUCGUGAGAUGUUGGGUUAAGUCCCGCAACGAGCGCAACCCUUGUUCUUAGUUGCCAUCAUUUAGUUGGGCACUCUAAGGAGACUGCCGGUGACAAACCGGAGGAAGGUGGGGAUGACGUCAAAUCAUCAUGCCCCUUAUGACCUGGGCUACACACGUGCUACAAUGGACGGUACAAACGGUUGCCAACCCGCGAGGGGAGCUAAUCCGAUAAAACCGUUCUCAGUUCGGAUUGUAGGCUGCAACUCGCCUAC
This 544-nucleotide ribosomal RNA is filed under the name uncultured bacterium. RNAcentral's name for it is "bacterial SSU rRNA". It matches the Rfam family "Bacterial small subunit ribosomal RNA", at positions 777 to 1319 of the family's 1533-position model. The record is from RNAcentral.